This is a long non-coding RNA of Sander lucioperca (pikeperch), 178 nucleotides long. RefSeq lists it as uncharacterized. The record is from RefSeq and is a predicted model, not a curated record. Lineage: Eukaryota; Metazoa; Chordata; Actinopteri; Perciformes; Percidae. The transcript has 3 exons.
UAAUGAACAAUCUAAUUCAGGGGUCUUCAACGUUUUUUAGGCCAAGGACCCCUAGCUGAAAAAGAGACGGAGCUGGGACCCCCCUACUACAUCUAUUGUAAAAAAUUGUGUUGCGUAUUAAACUGGGCCUACAAUAACGUGUAGGGCGGACUAAAGCCUUUACACAUACAUUUGUAUG